CAGGCUUAACACAUGCAAGUCGAGGGGCAUCAGGAAGAAAGCUUGCUUUCUUCGCUGGCGACCGGCGCACGGGUGAGUAACACGUAUCCAACCUGCCCUUUACUCGGGGAUAGCCUUUCGAAAGAAAGAUUAAUACCCGAUGGCAUAAUGAUUCCGCAUGGUUUGAUUAUUAAAGGAUUCCGGUAAAGGAUGGGGAUGCGUUCCAUUAGGUUGUUGGUGAGGUAACGGCUCACCAAGCCUUCGAUGGAUAGGGGUUCUGAGAGGAAGGUCCCCCACAUUGGAACUGAGACACGGUCCAAACUCCUACGGGAGGCAGCAGUGAGGAAUAUUGGUCAAUGGGCGCUAGCCUGAACCAGCCAAGUAGCGUGAAGGAUGAAGGCUCUAUGGGUCGUAAACUUCUUUUAUAUAAGAAUAAAGUGCAGUAUGUAUACUGUUUUGUAUGUAUUAUAUGAAUAAGGAUCGGCUAACUCCGUGCCAGCAGCCGCGGUAAUACGGAGGAUCCGAGCGUUAUCCGGAUUUAUUGGGUUUAAAGGGAGCGUAGGUGGACUGGUAAGUCAGUUGUGAAAGUUUGCGGCUCAACCGUAAAAUUGCAGUUGAUACUGUCAGUCUUGAGUACAGUAGAGGUGGGCGGAAUUCGUGGUGUAGCGGUGAAAUGCUUAGAUAUCACGAAGAACUCCGAUUGCGAAGGCAGCUCACUGGACUGCAACUGACACUGAUGCUCGAAAGUGUGGGUAUCAAACAGGAUUAGAUACCCUGGUAGUCCACACAGUAAACGAUGAAUACUCGCUGUUUGCGAUAUACAGUAAGCGGCCAAGCGAAAGCAUUAAGUAUUCCACCUGGGGAGUACGCCGGCAACGGUGAAACUCAAAGGAAUUGACGGGGGCCCGCACAAGCGGAGGAACAUGUGGUUUAAUUCGAUGAUACGCGAGGAACCUUACCCGGGCUUAAAUUGCAGUGGAAUGAUGUGGAAACAUGUCAGUGAGCAAUCACCGCUGUGAAGGUGCUGCAUGGUUGUCGUCAGCUCGUGCCGUGAGGUGUCGGCUUAAGUGCCAUAACGAGCGCAACCCUUAUCUUUAGUUACUAACAGGUCAUGCUGAGGACUCUAGAGAGACUGCCGUCGUAAGAUGUGAGGAAGGUGGGGAUGACGUCAAAUCAGCACGGCCCUUACGUCCGGGGCUACACACGUGUUACAAUGGGGGGUACAGAAGGCAGCUAGCGGGUGACCGUAUGCUAAUCCCAAAAUCCUCUCUCAGUUCGGAUCGAAGUCUGCAACCCGACUUCGUGAAGCUGGAUUCGCUAGUAAUCGCGCAUCAGCCACGGCGCGGUGAAUACGUUCCCGGGCCUUGUACACACCGCCCGUCAAGCCAUGGGAGCCGGGGGUACCUGAAGUACGUAACCGCAAGGAUCGUCCUAGGGUAAAACUGGUGACUGG
RNAcentral lists this ribosomal RNA (1432 nucleotides) under uncultured organism. RNAcentral describes it as "16S ribosomal RNA". It matches the Rfam family "Bacterial small subunit ribosomal RNA". The record is from RNAcentral.